RNAcentral lists this ribosomal RNA (570 nucleotides) under uncultured Clostridiaceae bacterium. Its description in RNAcentral is "bacterial SSU rRNA". It matches the Rfam family "Bacterial small subunit ribosomal RNA", at positions 8 to 585 of the family's 1533-position model. The record is from RNAcentral. Lineage: Bacteria; Bacillati; Bacillota; Clostridia; Eubacteriales; Clostridiaceae.
AGAGUUUGAUCAUGGCUCAGGACGAACGCUGGCGGCGCGCCUAACACAUGCAAGUCGAACGAGAUCUUUUAGAGAGCUUGCUCUCUGGUUGAUCGAGUGGCGGACGGGUGAGUAACACGUGAGCAACCUACCCUGGAGUGGGGGAUAACAUCUGGAAACGGAUGCUAAUACCGCAUAACAUCCCGAAGUGGCAUCACUUUGGGAUCAAAGAAGCAAUUUGCUUUAGGAUGGGCUCGCGCCCGAUUAGAUAGUUGGUGAGGUAAUGGCUCACCAAGUCUGCGAUCGGUAGCCGGACUGAGAGGUCGAACGGCCACAUUGGGACUGAGACACGGCCCAGACUCCUACGGGAGGCAGCAGUGGGGAAUAUUGCACAAUGGGGGAAACCCUGAUGCAGCGACGCCGCGUGAGUGAAGACGGCCUUCGGGUUGUAAAGCUCUGUCUUCGGGGACGAUAAUGACGGUACCCGAGGAGGAAGCCACGGCUAACUACGUGCCAGCAGCCGCGGUAAUACGUAGGUGGCAAGCGUUGUCCGGAAUUACUGGGUGUAAAGGGAGCGUAGGCGGGAGUUUA